UACGUAGGGUGCGAGCGUUAAUCGGAAUUACUGGGCGUAAAGCGUGCGCAGGCGGUUUUGUAAGCCGGAUGUGAAAUCCCCGGGCUCAACCUGGGAACUGCAUUGGAAACUAACGGGCUCGAGUGUGGCAGAGGGGGGUGGAAUUCCACGUGUAGCAGUGAAAUGCGUAGAGAUGUGGAGGAACACCGAUGGCGAAGGCAGCCCCCUGGGCUAACACUGACGCUCAGGCACGAAAGCGUGGGGAGCAAACAGG
Molecule: ribosomal RNA, 253 nt
Filed under: uncultured bacterium
Lineage: Bacteria
Description: partial 16S ribosomal RNA
Rfam family: Bacterial small subunit ribosomal RNA
Source: RNAcentral